This 65-nucleotide transfer RNA is filed under the name Simulium quinquestriatum. RNAcentral's name for it is "tRNA-Asn". RNAcentral also lists the same sequence under 3 other names. The record is from RNAcentral. Lineage: Eukaryota; Metazoa; Arthropoda; Insecta; Diptera; Simuliidae.
UUAAUUGAAGCCAAAAAGAGGCAUAUUACUGUUAAUGAUACUAUUGAAUGUAAGUUCCAAUUAAG